This is a long non-coding RNA of Arabidopsis lyrata subsp. lyrata, 833 nucleotides long. RefSeq lists it as uncharacterized. The record is from RefSeq and is a predicted model, not a curated record. The transcript has 3 exons. NCBI's taxonomy places the organism in Eukaryota, Viridiplantae, Streptophyta, Magnoliopsida, Brassicales, Brassicaceae.
UUUGACAGCCCAACUGCAUCAUACUAGCUAUUUCCCCUGCAAAUCAGGAUCUUGCUACAUCUGAUGCCAUUAAGAUCUCUCGUGAAGUUGAUCCAAAAGGUUCUGUUUGGCUGCGAAUGUGAUUAUAGGUUACUCUUGCUGGAUUUAGGAAUGGCAAGUUUUCGACAUUGGUGGCUACAAAUGUUGCUGCUCGUGGUCUAGAUAUCAAUGAUGUGCAGUUAAUUAUUCAGCUCAAUGGAGGAAUUUCAGUCAUCUAUAGAUAUGGAGUCCCAUAGGAGUUCACCAGAGAAUGACCUUUUAUCGUCUGUAGCUUUGUCAGGUCCUUUAUUUCGGAGCACAAUCUAUCAUCUGAAAGUACCAGGGUCUUCAAUUACGUCUCUGGGACCAGAAUAUACACUUCAAAACAAGUCAUAUAGCCUAUAUAGUGAUAAAAGACAAUGUAGAAGCUUGACUGAAACUACAGUAUAUGAGAAAAAAAUUGGCUUCUACACCUUUUAUUUGAAGGUGGACCCUUCUUGGCCUCUCUGCAUGUACGAGUUACGUGGAAGGUGCAAUAAUGAUGAAUGUUCUUGGCAACAUUUCAAGGAUUUCUCUGAUGACAGUUUGCAAAAAAGAAACAGCAUGCAAGAGACAUGUUUAGUGAAAGUGAUAGAUAUCAAAGCUUGUAUGAGUUUGGUUGUAUGAAUGUUUGUAUUGGAAAAUAUUGUUUUGCAAAAAUUUGAAAUUUUUUUCUUAAGAACCAACCAUUGGAGAACAUUUUUGUUAAGAUAUUCUCUUUGUAUCUUAGCUUUCAAAAAGCAAAAUUUUAAUUUUAAAUAAUGUUAAGAGCAAAA